UUAAAUUGAAGAGUUUGAUCAUGGCUCAGAUUGAACGCUGGCGGCAGGCCUAACACAUGCAAGUCGAACGGUAACAGAAAGCAGCUUGCUGCUUUGCUGAC
RNAcentral lists this ribosomal RNA (101 nucleotides) under Escherichia coli. RNAcentral describes it as "partial 16S ribosomal RNA". It matches the Rfam family "Bacterial small subunit ribosomal RNA", at positions 1 to 95 of the family's 1533-position model. The record is from RNAcentral. Lineage: Bacteria; Pseudomonadati; Pseudomonadota; Gammaproteobacteria; Enterobacterales; Enterobacteriaceae.